This 397-nucleotide ribosomal RNA is filed under the name uncultured bacterium. RNAcentral's name for it is "bacterial SSU rRNA". It matches the Rfam family "Bacterial small subunit ribosomal RNA", at positions 28 to 428 of the family's 1533-position model. The record is from RNAcentral.
GACGAACGCUGGCGGCGUGCUUAACACAUGCAAGUCGAGCGGUAAGGCCCUUUCGGGGGUACACGAGCGGCGAACGGGUGAGUAACACGUGGGUGACCUGCCCUCAGCUCUGGGAUAAGCCUGGGAAACCGGGUCUAAUACCGGACAUGACUCCAUGACGCAUGUUGUGGGGUGGAAAGCCUUGUGCGGCUGAGGAUGGGCCCGCGGCCUAUCAGCUUGUUGGUGGGGUGANGGCCUACCAAGGCGACGACGGGUAGCCGGCCUGAGAGGGCGACCGGCCACACUGGGACUGAGACACGGCCCAGACUCCUACGGGAGGCAGCAGUGGGGAAUCUUGCGCAAUGGGCGAAAGCCUGACGCAGCGACGCCGCGUGAGGGAUGACGGCCUCGGUUGUAA